UUCUUGGAGAGUUUGAUCCUGGCUCAGGACGAACGCUGGCGGCGUGCCUAAUACAUGCAAGUCGAGCGAAUCAAUAGG
RNAcentral lists this ribosomal RNA (78 nucleotides) under Neobacillus cucumis. RNAcentral's name for it is "partial 16S ribosomal RNA". It matches the Rfam family "Bacterial small subunit ribosomal RNA", at positions 1 to 78 of the family's 1533-position model. The record is from RNAcentral. Lineage: Bacteria; Bacillati; Bacillota; Bacilli; Caryophanales; Bacillaceae.